UUGAAAUUGCCAGAUUUCAAAAG
RNAcentral lists this small nuclear RNA (23 nucleotides) under Arabidopsis thaliana (thale cress). RNAcentral describes it as "snRNA_17777". Lineage: Eukaryota; Viridiplantae; Streptophyta; Magnoliopsida; Brassicales; Brassicaceae. The record is from RNAcentral.